UAUUAGGUUAGGGGGUCAUCCAUAAUUGUCAACCAUUUUCCAAAGUGUACAAAACGUACACUUUUUCAGACCCCCCACCCUCCCUCAAAAAGUGUACAUCAACCAUUUUCAGAUUUCAAGAGAGGAAUCAAUCAUUCUUAAUAAAAAGAAGAUCCUGUUUAAUAUAUUUUAGUUUAAUAUAGAAAUUUGCAUUGAAAAUAAACUAAAACAUAUCUGACUGUUUUAUUUGAUGACAUCUGUCUGUGAUGCUUGUGUUUUGUCAGAAUAAAGAGUACAAAGAUUAGUGUUGCCCCUAUCACACAGUUGGAAUGGUAACUCCAAUGAAAAAGGGCACCUAGAGCAUGCAAAAGAUAAACAAAAGGGCACAUAAAUUAUGCUAUAAAGAAUCAAAGAAUGGAAAUGCAUGGUUAUAUUGCAUUAGUAAAGGAUGGACUGACAGUUGUUGUGGAAUCAGAGCUCAAGACAGCAAUCAAUAAAAGAGUAAUGUUUUAAAACAUUUAAAGUUUUUAAAUUUCCCGCCUGUAUUUCUAUUUAAAAGGUCCCUGUAAAUUUGCCAUUCAUGGCACCAAGGAUUUGUAUAGUAAGUCUUACUAUACAAAUCCUUGGUUUAUGUAUAUA
This 618-nucleotide long non-coding RNA is filed under the name Mytilus galloprovincialis (Mediterranean mussel). The record is from RNAcentral. Lineage: Eukaryota; Metazoa; Mollusca; Bivalvia; Mytilida; Mytilidae.